GAGACUUGUUCCCAUAAGCCAUAUAUUCCAAUAGAAAGUAACGACUGAAGUAAGACUCGGUGAUUAGGAGGAUAGAGUAUAUAAAAUUUUAGAAAUCUUGUUGCAUACUAGAAGUUCAACUAGUAUCAUAUUAAAAGCUUUGAUACUCGGAUUCGCCAUUCUCACUUGCCACACUCGUGUUGACAUGACACGACACUGGAUAGGACAUGAAAUAUGUGUCCGACACACAUCCAUGAAGUUGGACACACCUAGAAGGAGG
RNAcentral lists this unclassified non-coding RNA (259 nucleotides) under Hevea brasiliensis (rubber tree). Lineage: Eukaryota; Viridiplantae; Streptophyta; Magnoliopsida; Malpighiales; Euphorbiaceae. The record is from RNAcentral.